CUACGGGAUGCUGCAGACGAGAAAACUUUGCAAUGUGCGAAAGCACGACAAGGUUAAUCCGAGUGGUUUCUGCUAAAGGAACCUUUUGACAGUCCUAGAAACACUGUUGAAUAAGGGGUGGGCAAGUUCUGGUGUCAGCCGCCGCGGUAAAACCAGCACCUCAAGUGGUCAGGAUGAUUAUUGGGCCUAAAGCAUCCGUAGCCGGCUCUGUAAGUUUUCGGUUAAAUCUGUACGCUCAACGUACAGGCUGCCGGGAAUACUGCAGAGCUAGGGAGUGGGAGAGGUAGACGGUACUCGGUAGGAAGGGGUAAAAUCCUUUGAUCUAUUGAUGACCACCUGUGGCGAAGGCGGUCUACCAGAACACGUCCGACGGUGAGGGAUGAAAGCUGGGGGAGCAAACCGGAUUAGAUACCCUCGUAGUC
RNAcentral lists this ribosomal RNA (422 nucleotides) under uncultured archaeon. RNAcentral's name for it is "partial 16S ribosomal RNA". It matches the Rfam family "Archaeal small subunit ribosomal RNA", at positions 323 to 746 of the family's 1478-position model. The record is from RNAcentral.